Molecule: ribosomal RNA, 252 nt
Filed under: uncultured archaeon
Lineage: Archaea
Description: partial 16S ribosomal RNA
Rfam family: Archaeal small subunit ribosomal RNA
Source: RNAcentral
UAGCCGUAAACGAUACUCGCUAGGUGUCGGCCACGGUGCGACCGUUGUCGGUGCCGUAGGGAAGCCGUGAAGCGAGCCACCUGGGAAGUACGGCCGCAAGGCUGAAACUUAAAGGAAUUGGCGGGGGAGCACCACAACGGGUGGAGCUUGCGGUUUAAUUGGAUUCAACGCCGGAAAUCUUACCGGGACCGACAGCAACAUGAAGGCCAGGCUGAAGACUUUGCCGGAUUAGCUGAGAGGAGGUGCAUGGCG